AUUGAACGCUGGCGGCAGGCCUAACACAUGCAAGUCGAGCGGAUGAAGGGAGCUUGCUCCUGGAUUCAGCUGCGGACGGGUGAGUAAUGCCUAGGAAUCUGCCUGGUAGUGGGUGAUAACGUCCGGAAACGGGCGCUAAUACCGCAUACGUCCUGAGGGAGAAAGUGGGGGAUCUUCGGACCUCACGCUACCAGAUGAGCCUAGGUCGGAUUAGCUAGUUGGUGGGGUAAAGGCCUACCAAGGCGACGAUCCGUAACUGGUCUGAGAGGAUGAUCAGUCACACUGGAACUGAGACACGGUCCAGACUCCUACGGGAGGCAGCAGUGGGGAAUAUUGGACAAUGGGCGAAAGCCUGAUCCAGCCAUGCCGCGUGUGUGAAGAAGGUCUUCGGAUUGUAAAGCACUUUAAGUUGGGAGGAAGGGCAGUAAGUUAAUACCUUGCUGUUUUGACGUUACCAACAGAAUAAGCACCGGCUAACUUCGUG
This 484-nucleotide ribosomal RNA is filed under the name uncultured bacterium. Its description in RNAcentral is "partial 16S ribosomal RNA". It matches the Rfam family "Bacterial small subunit ribosomal RNA", at positions 30 to 507 of the family's 1533-position model. The record is from RNAcentral.